GCAAGUCGAACGAAGUCUUCGGACUCAGUGGCGGACGGGUGAGUAACGCGUGAGAAUCUGCCUUCAGGAUGGGGACAACAGUUGGAAACGACUGCUAAUACCCAAUAUGCCUACGGGUGAAACCUUUUUUGGCCUGAAGAUAGCUCGCGUCUGAUUAGCUACUUGGUGGUGGUAUAGACUCACCAAGGCAACGAUCAGUAGCUGGUCUGAGAGGAUGAGC
This 220-nucleotide ribosomal RNA is filed under the name uncultured bacterium. RNAcentral's name for it is "partial 16S ribosomal RNA". It matches the Rfam family "Bacterial small subunit ribosomal RNA", at positions 57 to 305 of the family's 1533-position model. The record is from RNAcentral.